Molecule: microRNA, 23 nt
Filed under: Tribolium castaneum (red flour beetle)
Lineage: Eukaryota; Metazoa; Arthropoda; Insecta; Coleoptera; Tenebrionidae
Description: Tca-Mir-3-P13b_5p* (star (passenger))
Source: RNAcentral
CGGUCUAUCUUUGUUUAGACUGA